Molecule: ribosomal RNA, 447 nt
Filed under: uncultured bacterium
Lineage: Bacteria
Description: bacterial SSU rRNA
Rfam family: Bacterial small subunit ribosomal RNA
Source: RNAcentral
UCGGGAAUUUUGGGCAAUGGGCGAAAGCCUGACCCAGCAGCGCCGCGUGAAGGAUGAAGUAUUUCGGUAUGUAAACUUCGAAAGAAUAGGAAGAAUAAAUGACGGUACUAUUUAUAAGGUCCGGCUAACUACGUGCCAGCAGCCGCGGUAAUACGUAGGGACCAAGCGUUGUUCGGAUUUACUGGGCGUAAAGGGCGCGUAGGCGGCAUGACAAGUCACUUGUGAAAUCUCUGGGCUUAACCCAGAACGGCCAAGUGAUACUGUCGCGCUAGAGUGCAGAAGGGGCAAUCGGAAUUCUUGGUGUAGCGGUGAAAUGCGUAGAUAUCAAGAGGAACACCUGAGGUGAAGACGGGUUGCUGGGCUGACACUGACGCUGAGGCGCGAAAGCCAGGGGAGCAAACGGGAUUAGAUACCCCCGUAGUCCCUGAGCGGGCUGGCAAGGCGCAU